Molecule: small RNA, 97 nt
Filed under: Arabidopsis thaliana (thale cress)
Lineage: Eukaryota; Viridiplantae; Streptophyta; Magnoliopsida; Brassicales; Brassicaceae
Description: ATSL093470
Source: RNAcentral
GGUCAUUUUUAGGGUUCUUCAUCUUGAUUAUUCUUACUGCUAGUUUUAGAUUGAUCACCUAGAACUUGAUAUUAGAUAAUAGGUAUGCCCACCAUAG